AUUAUUUUUAUUCAAUCAGAUCUCAUCUCUGUGUCCUGUUCAUGAAGAUUUGAAAGAUAAAAAUAAAUGCAGGUCAUAAGAGUGGACAGAUAAAAAUCUUUAAAAAAAUCAAUAUCAACACAAAUGUGUCUUGUGAAUGUAAUGAUCAGAUUAAUAUAAUGAACACAUCGUUCAUAUCUUACACAUCUCUGUAAGUCAGAUUUCUGCUGUAUUGAGCAAGAAGAUUUUCAUAAUCUGUUUGCAUAUCAGAUGAGAUGUUUCAGAUCUCUGAGAGUUUAUAGUGCUGUGAGUUUAACACUUCAUAACUCAACACAACACACAAAACUAAACAUCAACAAUGACCUUCACCAUCAUCUUCAUCUCGACACUUUUAUUCUCAUUACAAGGGUGUAAAUCACAGAUCACAGUAACUCAAAGUACUUUAGUGAAAACUGCAGCACGAGGAGACUCUGUUACUCUGAACUGUAAACUCAGUUCUCCUACUACAGGCUAUAACCCACCCACUGUGUCCUGGUACUUACAGAAACCUGGAGAAGCUCCUAAACUCCUGAUAUAUCGGGUCAGCACUCUUCAGUCUGGAACUCCAUCAAGAUUCAGUGGCAGUGGAUCAAACACAGAUUUUACUCUGAGUAUCAGUGGAGUUCAGACUGAAGAUGCAGGAGAUUAUUACUGUCAGAGUUUACACUGGAUCAACAGUAAAAAUCUGUUCACACAGUGAUAAAGAGUCGUACAAAA
Non-coding RNA from Misgurnus anguillicaudatus (oriental weatherfish), 735 nucleotides. The record is from the annotation of a RefSeq genome assembly. Lineage: Eukaryota; Metazoa; Chordata; Actinopteri; Cypriniformes; Cobitidae.